GGUAUUUAUUAUAUUUAUACAUAUGGAGAUUUGAAUUUAUUUUUUUGGGAGAGAAAAUUAGAUAUGUUCUUUUUGGUUCUACAUGUUAAGGGGAAGAAGUGUUUUCUUUUAAUUACGGGUUGGGUAUCAGGCUUUAAAUAAAUAAAUAAUUAAAUAAGAGCAGGAAAACAAAUAGUGAUAUUGGGAUGGAAAUAUUUAAGGAAGUUUUAGAGUAAACUAGGGUAAAAAAAGGAGAUUCUUUCAACGUGAAAAGUAACCUAGCAACCUUCAUUCAAAUUAGGGCAUUGGUGAAGAGGGUGAGACCUUGCAACUCUGUAGUGAACCAAGCAAGACAUUAGAAAAGUUUAUUUAGAUUCAGGUAAGGGGAGUGGCUAGAAUUAUCUUGUGCUUGUAGUGUUUGAUAUUGUAUGUUAUUUUUCUUAUUAUGUGUUGCAUUGUAUGAGGCUGGUGUUGUUUUUCCUCUACAUGGAAAAUUUGGGGGUGACGAGGGAUGUGUUGAGCGAGGGACUGUCAUGGAGGGGUACAUGGUUUCUCCUUGUUUUAUGCUCUUUGAUUUACACGACAAAAAAAAAAAAUAGGUAGGCAUGAGUUUCUCUUCGUUUACUGAAUGAUAAUUGGGGAAGAGUUGUUAUAUAUAUAUAUAUAUAUGUGUGUGCGCGCGCGCGCGCCAGAGUGAGAGAAGAGCAGGGUAAUUCAAUUAUAUUUUUGGAUAUAUGAUAGAAGUUGGUGGCAAAGUUAAUAGUGAGACACGAUUUUGGUUUUGUUUGAAUUACUUUUAGAGUAGGUAAUAUUUUAUUCAUACUUUGUCAUUCUUUUGAUAAGCUUUUGUGGAGAUUUCCGUGGAAGUAAGACAAGAGUGAUGCAUGGGUUGGUUGCACCAAGUAGAAAUUGUAUAUUGAAGAUCUUGUUGAAGAUCUUUGGGUUGACACAUUGGUACAACAAAAAUUCUUCUUCUCCUCUUACACUUUUUCACUCAACUUAGGCGGUCCAUCUUCUAUAAUAUCUAAAACAUCCGGGAAGCCAAAGAUAGCUUGCAUCUUGAUGCAUCAGUCAUCAAAGUGUUUCCCAUCAAACACUAGUAAUGGCCCACGUAUACUCAAAUGCCUACCAUCCCUUUCUUGCUGAACUCUUGCAAUUUCUUUGAUUUUCACACAUCCAAAAAAACCUUCUUUCUCCUCUUUUGGAUACACACAAUUCCAAUCACCAAUCACACACCCACUUCACACACCAGGAACCACCAAACUUGUGCUCUUGAUACCAUAUUAGAUGUGAGGGCAUAAAAGGAAAAGUAUGUGACAUUUUAAAUGUUAUAUUAAAACACAAACACUUUGGCAAGAGAGAGAAACACGUUUUCAGAAUCUGAUGGCUUGAGAGAAGACAGAGAAAAUGAACCCUCAUGCUAGGGUUUUCAAACCACCACCCACACUGGCUAGAGAAACAAAAAAACACACUCACUGGAACACUGAAACACAACGUAGAGAGAAAACAUAGGCACUCACAAGGAGUGACAAAAAAAAGUUUAGUUUGGCGGGCCAAUCCAGUUAAGAAGAGUGGGUUGAGACUACUUUUCAAUGAAGCAGUUCCACAUCAUUAAAAAGUUAAAUGUAAGGAAAUUAUUCUCGUUCAAUCUGACGACUCUACAUCAUUAUAAAAAAAUCUAAAUGUAAAAAACUCAUCCUUGUUCAAUCCUACGACUCUACAUCAUUAUAAAAAAAUCUAAAUGUAAAAAACUCAUCCUUGUUCAAUCCUAUAAGUUAAUCCGGCCAGUUUCACAUUUGCAUCUGCAUUUGCUUUUAUCAUUGGUUAAAGGAUUUUGAAUAAGUAAUAAUUUGUAUUUCCACCUGGAAACAUGAGUUUCAUGAUUUAGAUGAUGUUGAUGAAGAUGGAAUAAUGGAUGAUGAGAGUUCUCCUAAUAACCCUAGGAAGUAAAAUGAAGAACAUCGAAUGAAAAAGGGUUAAAUAUAUUUUUAGUUCCUGAACUAUCAAGAGAUUUUGGGUUUCGUCCCUCUUUGAAAGGUUUGUUCAUUUUCAUCCUCUUAGCUUGGAAACUCGUAUUUUUAGUCUUUAAAAAUCAAUGACAUUAAGUUUUCUGUGAGGUGGCAAAUGGCGAGCCACUUGUGAUGCCACCUUCCUUGACUACUUUUAAUUGACGUGGCAGUAAAGGUCUGGUAGUCAGUCGGUCUAGUGGGUGGUCGACCACUCGAUCUGGUAGUCGAUCGGCCUGGUGAAUGGUCGGCCUGGUAGUACUUAAAUAAAGGUCAAUGUUUGUGUUUUA
Long non-coding RNA from Vigna radiata var. radiata (mung bean), 2275 nucleotides. RefSeq lists it as uncharacterized. NCBI's taxonomy places the organism in Eukaryota, Viridiplantae, Streptophyta, Magnoliopsida, Fabales, Fabaceae. The transcript has 2 exons. The record is from RefSeq and is a predicted model, not a curated record.